This is a long non-coding RNA of Oncorhynchus tshawytscha (Chinook salmon), 1091 nucleotides long. Lineage: Eukaryota; Metazoa; Chordata; Actinopteri; Salmoniformes; Salmonidae. The record is from Ensembl.
GUUCCCUCUUCUCUUCAGCCAAGGGGGACAUCUGUCUGUCUAUCUGACAAUGUCUGUCAGUGUGUCUGUCUGUCUCAGGUAGCCCUCAUCCAUCAUCACAUUCCAACACUGUCCAGUCCAGACCUUCAGGACCAUCUCAGUGCAUCAGGAGGAAAGUAACAGAUAGGAUAGGACAACCUUCCCCAACACCAUCCAAACAACAGCCCUUUCAUAUGGAGGAAACAGAAACACCAGCCUUCUACUGCCUUCUGUGGAGUUACAAACACUCAGAACCCUAGAUCACUCAGAACCCUAGAACACUCAGAACCCUAGAUCACUCAGAACCCUAGAACACUCCGAACCAUAGAACACUCCGAACCAUAGAACACUCAGAACCCUAGAUCACUCAGAACCCUAGAACACUCCGAACCAUAGAACACUCCGAACCAUAGAACAUUCAGAACCAUAGAACACUCAGAACCUUAGAACACUCAGAACCUUAGAACACUCAGAACCCUAGAUCACUCAGAACCCUAGAACACUCAGAACCAUAGAACACUCAGAACCAUAGAACACUCAGACAGCAUAGAAACAACUCAAUACUCUAAACAUCAUAUCUUAAACAUCGAUUUGGCAGAGAGAGAAAUGGUGAGGAGGAGGAAGUCUGUUCUGUGGCUCAGAAUGAAUUCAUGUAAAAUGUCUGUCUGACUGAAGGGAAGCUAUUCACUGUGACACACAAUGUCAAUGUCUGACUGGAGGGAAAGUACUCACUGUGACACACAAUGUCAAUGUCUGACUGGAGGGAAACUAUUCACUGUGACACACAUCUUUGUUUACUGCAUUCUUCUGAUAUAUCUUCUGAAGGGAGGACGAGAGCAACACUUUUCUUUGACUUUUGGCAGUUUGUUUUGAUGUUGUUGCAAACACUGGUUCACUGUGACGAGUUGAUGAGCAAUACACUGACUGAGAGAAACAGACCUGUAGAUAUUAUCAUGCAACUGACUGAUCACUGACAUUAAAUACAAAGAGGUGUGUGUGAGUUUGUGUGUGUGUGUACUUGUGUGUGUCAACCUGUGUGUGUAUGUACGUUUUAAACUGUGCGUGUGUGUGUG